UAUAAUUUAAAGUUGGGCCUGCCCACUGAUUUUUUAAAGGGCCGCAGUAUUUUGACUGUGCAAAGGUAGCAUAAUCAUUAGUUUUUUAAUUGAAAGCUUGUAUGAAUGGUUUGAUGAAAAAAUAACUGUUUCAAUUUUAAUAUUAGAAUUUUAUUUUUAAGUUAAAAAGCUUAAAUUUAAUUUAAAGACGAGAAGACCCUAUAGAGUUUUACUAAAGUUAAGUUUAUAAAUUUUAGGAUUUAAUAUUUUUAAAUUUAACUAAGUUUUGUUGGGGUGAYAGAAAAAUUUAAUUAACUUUUUUUUUAUUUAAACAAAAAUUAUUG
RNAcentral lists this ribosomal RNA (323 nucleotides) under Henosepilachna elaterii. RNAcentral describes it as "partial 16S ribosomal RNA". Lineage: Eukaryota; Metazoa; Arthropoda; Insecta; Coleoptera; Coccinellidae. The record is from RNAcentral.